RNAcentral lists this unclassified non-coding RNA (780 nucleotides) under Hevea brasiliensis (rubber tree). Lineage: Eukaryota; Viridiplantae; Streptophyta; Magnoliopsida; Malpighiales; Euphorbiaceae. The record is from RNAcentral.
UUUCGGUAUGCCGCUCCGCGAGCAGAGCGAAUGAACAUAAAUCCAACCUAAUAUCAUGAAUAUCCUUCGCCCGUUAUCUCCUCAUCUUCCUAUUAAUAAGCCACAACUUACUUGGACGUUUCCCAAUUCCCAUAGAAUCUCCGGGGCUUUCCUAAACCCUAUAGUUUUGUUUUUAAAUCUUCUGUCUGAAAAUAGGUUUGAUUUGCUUCACCUACGAGAAUUUCUACCAAAUCUUCUUUUUUUCAUCAAAGCUCAUCCUAAUCUCCGUCCACAUUACUGCCUUAGCCCUGUCCGAUCAUCUGUAUAAUGGGAUUCGUCCUUUAUUGACGGAUUGUUUUCAUUCUGUAAACCAUAAAGGUAUAAAGAUGAUGUAUAUAGAUUAAGACCAAGAUCGAUUUGAUGAAGAAGGCAGCUAGCUUGGUCCAAAAUGUGAGAGAUCCAGGAGACUCCAGCCAAGGAAAAAGGUGCCCACACCAUCAAACACGCAGAGGAAAGAACAGUUUAUAAGAUGAGAAAUUGUGGCCGCGGGUCAAAUAAAGUUGCAGAGAAAGAAAUUAAAGCUGCAGUAGAAUCCAAGUGGAGAGGAGACCAAAACCCAAUUAUUGGAUUUUGAUGGUUUCUUAUGAUUCGUUGAUUCUUAGAAUAAAAACUAAGGAAUGAAAUUGCUUUUGCGAUGAGCAUUGCAGAUUGAAAUUUUUGGCUUAAUAUGCAAUUUAUUUUAAUAAGUUGAUGUAAUUAAUUGAAAAUUCUUGCAUCAUUGUGAAUUAAUUUUUCUUUUUG